Non-coding RNA from Malus domestica (apple), 1071 nucleotides. The record is from RefSeq and is a predicted model, not a curated record. Lineage: Eukaryota; Viridiplantae; Streptophyta; Magnoliopsida; Rosales; Rosaceae.
UGCCCUUCAGAAGAAUGCUGCUGCGUUAAAUCUUCAAUAGUCCUUUUUGCAGCCUGAAGUUGUUCAACUGAUCCGUCCUUCUCAGCAACGGCAGUGGAAUAUUUUGCUUCAAGGUCACUUAGUUUGGACUUUUCCUUGAGAGAAUUCUGCAAUAAAGGUUUCUCAGCAGCCUCAGCCUUGAGCUUUUCAACCUCAGAUUUUAAAGCAGCUUCUCGUGCUCUUUGUUCCUUGAGCUGUUCUUUAAGGAUGGCUAUCUCUAGCUGGCGCGAAGGCAUCUGUGGCAAACAGAUGUAGCUAAUAACCAUAAAGCAACAAUAUUUAGCCGUAAUAUAAUUACAAAAAAGUUUGGUGCUUUCCAGAAAUUCCAGAAAAUCCAUUAGCUUCCAAAUCUCUCUGGCUGAAUGUUUCAAUGGCUUCUUGCAACUUCGUUUCAGCUUCCACAAUGCGGGCUUCGGAAGCAGAAUGAAGUUCUAAGGCUCUCGAGUGCUUAUCUGUUAAUUCUUCAACAGUGCUCUUGUGCAAAGGCUCUGAACUGCAUCCUAACAUCAUGUGUAAAAACAAGCAAGAGGAGGCACCAACUCAUUAGUGGGUGAAGUCUUUUGGCAGCGUCCCGACUCCAAACCAAAACAAAAAUAAAAAGAUGCAGGACAAUUCGAAGAUAAUACCUGGUGACUGGGAAGGCGACCGAUCAUCCAACUCACGGACAACCAGCUUUGCCCUUGGAUCAACAACUUCAAACAAAUCUGAGGCCAAAGGAAAAUGUUACAAACUUUACACAUCAAGGGCACAAGAAACGUCGCAGUAAUACAAGGAACUCUGACGUGGAGCUUCUACAGGGAUGAUCUAUAUAGCAAACGAUCGUAGAUAUGUAUAAGAUGGGUGGUGCAGGUGCUACAAUAGGGAUUUUGACUAUUAACUGCUUGAUCAGUCGUAUCCUAUGGACCAGACCGAACUGACAAUACCUGGUUGACACCCCAGAAAAACACGACUGAUCAAGGGCACAUGCUAAUAUGAAUAACUAGCCAGAUUUCUCCGGCUCACUUUCAUAUCAUAUUUGCAGAAUUCAUGAAA